AUUGAACGCUGGCGGCAGGCCUAACACAUGCAAGUCGAGCGGAUGAAGGGAGCUUGCUCCUGGAUUCAGCGGCGGACGGGUGAGUAAUGCCUAGGAAUCUGCCUGGUAGUGGGGGAUAACGUCCGGAAACGGGCGCUAAUACCGCAUACGUCCUGAGGGAGAAAGUGGGGGAUCUUCGGACCUCACGCUAUCAGAUGAGCCUAGGUCGGAUUAGCUAGUUGGUGGGGUAAAGGCCUACCAAGGCGACGAUCCGUAACUGGUCUGAGAGGAUGAUCAGUCACACUAGAACUGAGACACGGUCCAGACUCCUACGGGGGGCAGCGGUGGGGAAUAUUGGACAAUGGGCGAAAGCCUGAUCCAGCCAUGCCGCGUGUGUGAAGAAGGUCUUCGGAUUGUAAAGCACUUUAAGUUGGGAGGAAGGGCAGUAAGUUAAUACCUUGCUGUUUUGACGUUACCAACAGAAUAAGCACCGGCUAACUUCGUG
Molecule: ribosomal RNA, 484 nt
Filed under: uncultured bacterium
Lineage: Bacteria
Description: partial 16S ribosomal RNA
Rfam family: Bacterial small subunit ribosomal RNA
Source: RNAcentral